Molecule: non-coding RNA, 354 nt
Organism: Pelobates cultripes (western spadefoot toad)
Lineage: Eukaryota; Metazoa; Chordata; Amphibia; Anura; Pelobatidae
Source: the annotation of a GenBank genome assembly
UCUUUAUUGUUCUACAUUAUCUUGUAAAUUACGAUACAGAAUAAUAUUUCACGAGAGACUUCAUCUAUUGUCUGUUUUAAUGAGCUGUCCUUGGAAAAGCCUAGAGAUAUCUGUGCCACUAGCUUAUUGUGAUUUAAUUUCCCCAUGCAUAAAAUGUUUGGCUGGCACACACAAUCAGAUUAAACUCUGUCUUCUGUCAAUGAAUCAUAACAAAUGGCCGAGGUUCACUGGUGAUUCCAUCCAUGUCUCCAAACAUCUCUUCCUCAAGCCUGCUUCUCCUUCUUCUUUUUUUUUCUUUAUUGCAAGGUGAUACUCAUCCAUCAUCAGCGUUUAAACAGCUUCACUGCCAGAGGG